Molecule: ribosomal RNA, 455 nt
Filed under: uncultured bacterium
Lineage: Bacteria
Description: bacterial SSU rRNA
Rfam family: Bacterial small subunit ribosomal RNA
Source: RNAcentral
AGUUUGAUCAGUGGCUCGAGGACGAACGCUGGCGGUGUGCUUCACACAUGCAAGUCGAACGAGGUAGCAAUACCUAGUGGCGGACGGGUGAGUAACGCGUGGGAAUCUGCCUUUAGAUGGGGGAUAACGGGUCGAAAGACUCGCUAAUACCGCAUAUGACGAAAGUUGAAAGGAGUAAUCCGUCUAAAGAUGAGCCCGCGUCCGAUUAGCUAGUUGGUAGAGUUAAAGCCUACCAAGGCGACGAUCGGUAGCUGGUCUGAGAGGAUGAUCAGCCACAAUGGGACUGAGACACGGCCCAUACUCCUACGGGAGGCAGCAGUGGGGAAUUUUACGCAAUGGGCGAAAGCCUGACGUAGCGACACCGCGUGAGCGAAGAAGCCCCUUGGGGUGUAAAGCUCUGUCAGCUGGAACGAAAAAUGACGGUACCAGCAGAGGAAGCAUCGGCUAACUACGUG